UUUUUUUUUUUUUGAGACGGAGUCUCGCUCUGUCGCCCAGGCUGGAGUGCAGUGGCCGGAUCUCAGCUCACUGCAAGCUCCGCCUCCCGGGUUCACGCCAUUCUCCUGCCUCAGCCUCCCGAGUAGCUGGGACUACAAGCCACCCUCGCCCGGCUAGUUUUUUGUAUUUUUUAGUAGAGACGGGGUUUCACCGUGUUAGCCAGGAUAGUCUCGAUCUCCUGACCUCGUGAUCCACCCGUCUCGGCCUCCCAAAGUGCUGGGAUUACAGGCUUGAGCCACCGCGCCCCGCCGAGAAAACACUCUUAACAUAUCAAGGCUCUUAGAUAUGCAGGCUGGCUUAAUUCUAUUCUGGACAAUAGAAGAAUUUGUGGUGGAAUGACAUGUGACCUUGUCCAGUCACUCUACCUCGCCUAAUCUGGGCCUCAGUUUCUUCCUCUCAACUGGACAGAGUCGGCUAGGUCUGUGAGCGUCCUACCUGCUAAUCAUCAGAAUCAGCUGGGGCUGGAGGAUGGCAAGUGAGAGCUUUAAAAAAUACACCUGGGGGCCGGGCGCGGUGGCUUAUCCCCGUAAUCCCAGCACUCUGGGAGGCUGAGGCAGGUGGAUCACGAGGUCAAGAGUUUGAUACCUGCCUGGCCAAUAUAGUGAAACCUUGUCUCUACUAAAAAUACAAAAAUUAGCUGGGUGCGGUAGCACACUGUAAUUCCAGUUACUCGGGAGCACAAGAUUCUUAUGCCAAGGCACAAGAAUCGCUUGAGCCCAGGAGGCAGAGGUUGCAGUGAGCUGAGAUCACACCACUGCAUUCCUGCCUGGGCGACAGCGAGAUUCUGUCUCAAAAAAAAUGCAAACAAAAUACAUGGCCAACCUGUCCUACUAAAUUCCAUUCCUACUAGACCCUAAAACUCUAAUCUCUGAGGGUUGGGGGUCCCAGAGUUCAUAUUUUUAAAAAUAAAUUUUUCAUGUGAUUUGAUGAUCAGGCAGGCUUGGGACCCUCUGGAGUAGACAGAUUACCACUAAGAUCUUUUCCAGAUUUCAUGACCAUCAAAACUGAUGAUUCUAAAAACUCAUCUUGGAAAAUACUGUUGCAUGUCUGGGCGGAAGAAGAACACUGGUAAGGGAAGCAGGAACCUGGAUUCGAGUCCUAGGGCUCCCCUCAAGCUAUGCAGGGGACACUGGAAAAGCCACUUCACUCUGGACCUUAGCGUCUUUAUCCACAAAGUAAAGGCACUGGAGCAGGCAGUGUCAGGGCCCUUCCUCUCACAUUCUGCACCCUAAUUCUGAUUCCUCUGGGAUUCAUUGUUUGCACAUAAAGCACCCUUAGGUGACUGAAUACAGAGACUGGUAAGAGAGGCUGGCUGGGUUCAUCUGCAGUAGCCUACCCAUUCUUCCUGAGGCCCAAGGAGUCUCUUCUGCCUUGUACCCUUGGUGGGUCCCACCCCUCCAGCUCUUUCAGAGGCGCUGAGGGUAUGUUCUGGCCCAGAGCCAGGCACCUCCUCAACCCUCACUUCUUUCCUCCAUUUAGGACUCAACUCAUUCUAGCUUUUCCUGUUCCUCCAAGACAAGAUCUAUGAAAGAUCCCCUGAUACCUUAUCCCCUACAUUCCCAGCCCAGAGAUCCCCUACAUAGUAAAUCCACAAAAGUAUCUGAGAAAUGAAUGAAUGGUUGAGUGAACGAUUGUCAUAUGAGCUUCCUUCCAGCUGCAACAAUCAAUGCCUCUGUCCCUGUCUGUCCUCAGAGGGUUCAUCCUCAGUGAGGUGAAAGAGGACAAAGUCUUGUCAGGUCUACUUACCGCAUAGGACCAUGCAAAGAGUGGGCCGCUUCUGCAAAACGUUGAGCCUCUUAGUUUUACUAACUUCAUAUGAAUGGCAUUAUACCGGAUGUAUUCUCUGUGUCAUGCUGCCUUUUUUUUUCUUUUUUUUAAAUUUCCAGACACGGUUUCACUCUGUUCUCCAGGCUAGAGUGCAGUAGUGCGACCUUGGCUCACUAGAACCUCCGCCUCCCAGGUUCAAGUGAUUCUCAUGCCUCAGCCUCCUGAGUUGCUGGAAUUACAGGUGCGUGCCACCAUGGCCAGCUAAUUUUUCUAUUUUUAGUACAUACCGGGUUUCACCAUUUGGCCAGACUGGUCUCGAACUCCUGCCUCAAGUGAUCUGCAGACCUUGGCCUCCCAAAGUGCCGGGAUUACAGGUGUGAGCCAGUGUGCCCGGCCUGUGUCUUGCUUCUUUCAACCAACAUUACAUUCUAUAUACUUGCUAGGAUGGGGGUUAUUAGCAUUCACUUUUAAUUACUCAUUAAAGUAUAUACAUAUACUUUAUGCAUUUUCAGUAUCUGCACUAUACUUCACAAUAAAAGGAGAAUUGAGGGAGUCCAAGACAAUUACUGUUUGUUUUCAAGAGACAACCUAGAAUGAGUGUUCUCUUUUAGCCAUUUGUAGAAAAAGUGGCUGUGUGUGGUGGUUCACGUCUGUAGUCCCAGCAGUUUGUGAGGAUGAGGCAGGACAGUCACCAGAGCCCAGGUGUUUGAGACCGGCCUGGCCAACACCAUAAAACCCUGUCUCUACAAAAAAUAUAAAAAUUGGCUGGGCAUGCUGGUGAGCAUCUGUAGUUCCAGCUACUUUGGAGGCUGAGGCAGGAUGAUCACCUUACCCUAGGAGGUUGAGGUUUCAGUAAGUCGAGAUCGCACCACUGCACCCCAGCGUAGGCCACAUAGUGAGACCAUGUCUCGAAAAAAACACAAAAAGUGACUUGGAACCUGCAAGAUCUUUACAAAUGGCAAGAACCUUGGGGAAGUUUUUCACAUGGGAACUUUACCCCAGAGCUUGUGUUUUUCUCACUCCUUGGUGAGUAUUCAGUCAACAGAAGCAUUACCCUCACUAUAUGGGUCACAUAUCACAUAAGGCUGUGCCUCACCUACCAAGUGGCCUGACCUGUCUGAACUUCAGUUUCUUCAUAUGGAUAACAAUGAUGUUGCUGGCAUCACGGUGGGGGGUGUGGAGGAUGCCCACAAAAAUAAGGUAUGAGGAUCCGACUUGCCAUACCCUGUGACUGGGUCUAAAUCUGCACGUGUGGCAAGGUAACAGUGUGGAAAAUCGGGGUUAUAGGCUUUGUGUUGAUAAACUUGAGAAAGAGUUGGGGGAAAUCAUUUUCCACUAACAGACCCAGUGCAGCAACACUUCAGUAUUUACCUGCCUAGGCUGCCUCAUGCAUUGCUCUGUGGGGAGUCGGGGUUUAAUGAAGUAGGAUAAACCCCACAUGCACAUUAGUUAGCCUCAGCACAGGCAGGAUUAACUUUACACUCCAUUUGCAAGGGAAAAGCUCCUCUCCUAGAGUUUGUUAUAAAAGGAUUUAGAAUCACAGAUGAUAGAGCUGGAAGAGAGCCCCUAAGACAUCAUCAUCAUUCUAUUCCAUCAUUUUUCAGAAGGUCAAAGAGACCUGCCCAAGAGAGCAGAAGAGACCUGCCCAAGUCACCUACUGAAUUAGCACCGAGCUCAGGUUGGACCCCAGUCUCCAGAUCCCCAGGCCUGCAUCCUCUCCACUUUCUCCUGUACUGCUCAACCACUGCCUUAUAACAAAGGUAGGGUAGCAUAUUUCUCUUUCUGGCUUUGCUCUCUACCCCUUGAUACUCACACCCUCCGUAUUCAGGUUUCAUGGUGUAUGAGCAAGGUUUGCGUGUACUCAACUGAGCUGGCCUCCCUCAUGUCAGUGUAGCUUUGCACUUGGUGUUUCCUUUGUCUUCAUUGGUCUUCCCUCUCUACUCUUUCCAGGGAGACUCUAUUCAGUGUUACCUUCCCCAGGAAUUCUCUGAAUCAUGCCCUCUCCCAUCUUUCUAGACUUUGAGCUCCUCUAGAGUAGGGACUACAUCUUCUUUGUCUUUGUAUCUCACUGCCUAGCAGGGGAAUAGCAUGUGGAAGAUACAGUAAACAUUUGUUGAAUGAACAAAUGACCAGAUGAAAUAAUAAAUAAUUAAACAUACAAAUGAAUGAAUUAAGUCAAAGGCAGAUAGGAGGCAGCAUGGGUCUCAAGCAACCUAGAGCUCUUAACAAAUUGCCAGUUUAGCUCAAGUCCUUCCUUAUGGAGCUCUGGCCUGUUGUAGAUGUUUUCCAUGACUACCAUGGUCCAUGACCCGCCUCCUUGGGAUGGCCUGGACUCUGACCACAUAAUCACUGAGCUGAAUCUACCAUAGCCCUGGGCUUUCAUCUCAGGCCCCAAAUAGACUGGCAAUGAGCCAUCAUUUCUGUCCUUGCCACCAUCUUCAACCAGUUUUCCCAGGGCUGCCUGCACUGGGGGAUACACCUAGGAAAUUUCCACGUGAGAUGUGAAGCCUAUCUCUUCAGGUGACAGCCCUCCUCAGGGUGGAGUGCCAACACAGAUUCCCCAUGCGCAUCUCAAUUCUAGCAACUUGAUUAAAGAAGGCACCUUCAGAUGUCCCUUGUUUAUAUAGACUUCUGAGAGGGAAAGUUAGGAGUGUAUAUAAGUACCAAUACACAUGUAUACGACUGGGAUAGGCAUUGAAGUAGAAGUCAGGAGACUUGGGGUUCAGCCCCAACUUUGUCAGCAUGGCAAAAUGGUUAAGCAUGUGGAUUCUGGAAUUGUACUGCUGGGUUAGAAUCCCAGCUCUAGCACUUACUGGCUGUUAGCCUUGGGGAGGUUACCUAACUGUGGUGUGCUUCAUUUCCCCACCUGUAGAAUGGAGACAAUGAUAUUCUCUGCCUCACGGAGCUGGUGUGAAGAAUACAUGAGGUAGGCUGGGCUCCGUGGCUCACACCUGUAAUCCCAGUGCUUUGAGAGGCCAAGACGAGAGGAUCGUUUGAACCCAGGAGUUUGAGACUACAGUGAGCUAUGGUCAUGCCACUGCACUCCAGUCUGCAUGACAGAGUGAG
Molecule: long non-coding RNA, 4873 nt
Organism: Macaca fascicularis (crab-eating macaque)
Lineage: Eukaryota; Metazoa; Chordata; Mammalia; Primates; Cercopithecidae
Source: Ensembl